This 1255-nucleotide unclassified non-coding RNA is filed under the name Hevea brasiliensis (rubber tree). Lineage: Eukaryota; Viridiplantae; Streptophyta; Magnoliopsida; Malpighiales; Euphorbiaceae. The record is from RNAcentral.
GGGGAUUGUGACAUCAUUUCAGAAUAUCCUUGACAACAUCUUUCUGCCCUUGUUUGAGGUUACUGUUGACCCAGAUUCACAUCCCCACCUGCACAUCUUCUUGAAGCAGGUUGUUGGAUUGGAUUUGGUGGAUGAUGAAAGCAAACCAGAAAGAAGGCCUACCAAACACAUGCCUACACCUGCUCAAUGGACUAACGUAUUCAAUCCUGCAUUCUCAUACUAUGUCUACUAUUGUUAUGCUAAUCUCUACACCCUGAACAAGUUGCGUGAGUCAAAAGGCAUGACGACCAUCAAAUUCCGGCCACAUGCUGGGGAGGCUGGAGAUAUUGACCACCUUGCAGCAACAUUUUUAACAUCCCAUAAUAUUGCUCAUGGUAUCAAUUUGAGGAAGUCUCCGGUACUUCAGUACUUAUAUUACUUGGCUCAGAUUGGUUUGGCAAUGUCUCCUCUUAGUAACAAUUCUUUAUUUUUGGACUACCAUCGGAAUCCUUUGCCCAUGUUCUUCUUGAGGGGCCUGAAUGUUUCUCUUUCAACGGAUGAUCCCUUGCAAAUUCACUUAACAAAAGAAGCCCUGGUUGAAGAGUAUAGUAUAGCUGCGUCAGUUUGGAAGUUGAGUUCGUGCGAUUUAUGUGAGAUUGCCCGCAAUUCAGUUUACCAGUCUGGUUUCUCACAUGCACUAAAGUCCCACUGGAUUGGGAAGGAGUAUUACAAGAGAGGACCAGAUGGAAAUGAUAUUCAUAGGACAAAUGUGCCUCAUAUCAGGCUUGAAUUCCGUGAUAUGAUAUGGAGGGAGGAGAUGCAACAGGUUUAUCUAGGCAAGGCUGUAUUUCCUUCAUUUGUUGACCCAUGAUGUGCAUUGGUAAUGCAUUUAUAUCAGUUACAAGAGUACAGAUUCAGAAUAUCUGGAGGCUUGGCCAUCUAGCGACUCUAGAAAGGUUCUCCACUAUGAGAUAUAUCUAGAAUUUGGAUGUUGAGGGGAAAAUAAGGUUGGAUGAGUGCUAGACCUUAUCAUUUGAUGAUGUGGUAGUAACAUUCAAUAAGAGUGAUCUAUGAAGACCGGUAAUUGAGGAAGCAACUGGAGCUCUAGCAUAAAUAGCACAACUGCAAAGCAAUCCACUAUCUCAAUAAGGAAUUAUGUAUAAUAUAUCCGAAUGGUAGGUUAACAAACAUCAGAUGCAUCGUAAGAUAUAUUCUGAAUGUUGCAUGGUCCCAUUGUACUAUAUUGACGUGUUGGCUAAAUAAAAAGAUCGAUUGC